GAUGAACGCUGGCGGCGUGCUUAACACAUGCAAGUCGAACGGUGAACACGGAGCUAGCUCUGUGGGAUCAGUGGCGAACGGGUGAGUAACACGUGAGCAACCUGCCCCUGACUCUGGGAUAAGCGCUGGAAACGGCGUCUAAUACUGGAUACGAGUAGCGGCAGCAUGGGCAGUUACUGGAAAGAUUUUUUGGUUGGGGAUGGGCUCGCGGCCUAUCAGCUUGUUGGUGAGGUAAUGGCUCACCAAGGCGGCGACGGGUAGCCGGCCUGAGAGGGUGACCGGCCACACUGGGACUGAGACACGGCCCAGACUCCUACGGGAGACAGCAGGGGUUAAUAUUGCACAAUGGGCGAAAGCCUGAUGCAGCAACGCCGCGUGAGGGAUGACGGCCUUCGGGUUGUAAACCUCUUUUAGCAGGGAAGAAGCGAAAGUGACGGUAUCUGCAGAAAAAGCGCCGGCUAACUACGUGCCAGCAGCCGCGGUAA
RNAcentral lists this ribosomal RNA (485 nucleotides) under uncultured bacterium. Its description in RNAcentral is "partial 16S ribosomal RNA". It matches the Rfam family "Bacterial small subunit ribosomal RNA", at positions 28 to 523 of the family's 1533-position model. The record is from RNAcentral.